GACGUAGGGCGCGAGCGUUGUCCGGAUUUAUUGGGCGUAAAGAGCUCGUAGGCGGCUUGUUGCGUCGGCUGUGAAAUCCCUCGGCUCAACCGAGGAACUGCGUCCGAUACUGGCGAGGCUUGAAUUCGGGAGAGGGAUGUGGAAUUCCAGGUGUAGCGGUGAAAUGCGUAGAUAUCUGGAGGAACACCGGUGGCGAAGGCGGCAUCCUGGACCGAGAUUGACGCUGAGGCGCGAAAGCUAGGGUAGCAAACGGG
This 254-nucleotide ribosomal RNA is filed under the name uncultured bacterium. RNAcentral describes it as "partial 16S ribosomal RNA". It matches the Rfam family "Bacterial small subunit ribosomal RNA", at positions 524 to 776 of the family's 1533-position model. The record is from RNAcentral.